AUGUAUAUGAUGUUUGACAAAAAUAACUUUCCAGAUGGGGCACAAGUUUAUUGUGUGAAACAGAAGAUUAUGCAUGACAGGUGUAUCCAUCAUCUUCACAGAGCGAUGGGUCAUGCACGUGUAGAGGUGCUCAGAAAAACUUUAGAAAUAUGCACAGAUUUUGAGUGUGAGAAAUGUGAAAAUUUAUUAGACUGUGCAGUUUGUUCAGAGAUGGGAAUUGAAUCAAAAGAGCAUCCUAAAAGAAUUAAGACCCAGGAAAUGUUUGAAAUGGUCCAUCUAUAUGUAACAGAAUCUGAUGUAAAAAGCCAGGGAGGUUCUCAAUUUACUUUGCUGUUAGUAGAUAGACACACAAGAUUUGGUUAUAUUUACUUCCUUAAGGAUUUGAAGGAAGCUGUUGUAAAGGUGUCUAAUUGGAUAGACAUGGUUCAAAGGGUCUAUGAACAGCAUGUAGGUCAAAUAGUUUUUGACAAAGGUGUUAAUGUGUGUAAUGAAGAGAUGAAGAAAAUGUUGAGUGAAAGGAAUAUAGGAUUUAAAAAUGUAAAGUCAAAUAAGUCAAAUGAAGAAGGCGUGGCUCAAAAUAGGAUGAAGCAAAUUCUUCACAUGAAUGAGUGUUUAAUUAGAGAUUCCAAAAGCUCAACUAAGAAUUGGCCAGAGUGUUCACACACAAGUAAUUACAUUUUAAACAGGUUAUGGGAUGAGGAAUUGGAUGACAUCCCAUUUCGGAGAAUGUACAAAAAAACCCCAAAUAUAGGAUAUCUAAAAGUAUAUGGUCAAAAUGCUAAUGCAUUAGUUCCAGCCAACCAAAGGAAAAAGGGUGAGCCUAAGUGGAGAAGGAUGCAGUUUUUAGGCUACUACCAAGACAAGCUUAAAUUUCACAGUGGUCUUGGGAGGCUUAUUUUCUCAAAGAAGGCGUUCUUUGAGAAGGAUGAAGGCUGGGACAGGUUGCAUUUGAACAAAGAGAUGUUGUUUAAUAACAAUUCCACCAAGGAAGCGGAGGUACAGAAAGCUUCAGGUGGAGGGGGUUCUGUUGUUGAAAAGGAUAUGCAACGAACCAUUAAGGAGGAGAUGGUUACUCCAGUGAAACAUGGGGAAGUACAGACUCCCCAGAAGAGUCAGAAGAGAGGGGGUAAAGGGAAAAAAUCACCUAAGCUUGAGAGUGAAGAGCAGGUGACAGAAAAAAGUGAAGAUAUAUCUCUUCUUGAGACCGAGAUUGAAUCAGUUGAUCAGUGGUCUCCAACUUGUCAAUUGGCACAGGUGUUGCCAAAGCGCCAGAGAUGCAAAAACAUUGUGCCUGUUUAUUAG
RNAcentral lists this long non-coding RNA (1302 nucleotides) under Anolis carolinensis (green anole). Its description in RNAcentral is "lncRNA (ENSACAG00000029266.2)". Lineage: Eukaryota; Metazoa; Chordata; Lepidosauria; Squamata; Anolidae. The record is from RNAcentral.